Molecule: ribosomal RNA, 253 nt
Filed under: uncultured bacterium
Lineage: Bacteria
Description: partial 16S ribosomal RNA
Rfam family: Bacterial small subunit ribosomal RNA
Source: RNAcentral
GACGAAGGAUGCAAGCGUUAUCCGGAUUCAUUGGGUUUAAAGGGUGCGUAGGCGGCCCUGUAAGUCAGUGGUGAAAUCUCUCAGCUUAACUGAGAAACUGCCAUUGAUACUGCAGGGCUUGAGUACAGAUGAUGUUGGCGGAAUAUGACAUGUAGCGGUGAAAUGCAUAGAUAUGUCAUAGAACACCGAUUGCGAAGGCAGCUGACAAAACUGUAACUGACGCUGAGGCACGAAAGUGUGGGGAUCAAACAGG